Molecule: ribosomal RNA, 425 nt
Filed under: uncultured bacterium
Lineage: Bacteria
Description: partial 16S ribosomal RNA
Rfam family: Bacterial small subunit ribosomal RNA
Source: RNAcentral
GUGGGGAAUCUUGCGCAAUGGGCGAAAGCCUGACGCAGCCAUGCCGCGUGAAUGAUGAAGGUCUUAGGAUUGUAAAAUUCUUUCACCGGGGACGAUAAUGACGGUACCCGGAGAAGAAGCUCCGGCUAACUUCGUGCCAGCAGCCGCGGUAAUACGAAGGGGGCUAGCGUUGCUCGGAAUUACUGGGCGUAAAGGGCGCGUAGGCGGACAGCUUAGUCAGAGGUGAAAGCCCAGGGCUCAACCUUGGAAUUGCCUUUGAUACUGGCUGUCUUGAGUUUGGGAGAGGUGAGUGGAACUCCUAGUGUAGAGGUGGAAUUCGUAGAUAUUAGGAAGAACACCAGUGGCGAAGGCGGCUCACUGGUCCGGUACUGACGCUGAGGUGCGAAAGCGUGGGGAGCAAACAGGAUUAGAUACCCUUGUAGUCC